RNAcentral lists this small nucleolar RNA (99 nucleotides) under Castor canadensis (American beaver). The record is from RNAcentral. Lineage: Eukaryota; Metazoa; Chordata; Mammalia; Rodentia; Castoridae.
CUUCAAUGAAGAGAUGAUGACGAGUCUGACUGGGGUGCUAUCUCUGUCCUGUCACUGGAAAAGGAAAGGAACAAGGAGGAUUCCUAAUAAGAGAGAAGG